GUUAGUUCAAAGAAUGGCGAAUGGAGGUUGGUUCCACACUUUCCACGUACCCAGUCGAAGAGAAUUGUGUUGAAUGACUGUCACCUUUUGAAUGAAACUUCAGCUUUAUUUAAUAACAAAAUCAACGUACACAGCAAUAAACAAACUGAAAAAGGAAAAAGAUUAUAGCAUAGCACAAGGAGUCCAGGACAACUUGCAUAUUCAGAAAGCCUUGAGCAAAAGAUCACAGUACAAUAUCGUAUCCAGAAAUUAGAAAGCCAAGUUAUAUGCAGGAGAUCGUAGGGAGGAAAGACAGAUUGCUACUAUGGUGGUGGGUUUGGGAAUAGAAGUAAUGGUGGCAUUGGUGGGGCUCUGGGCAGUCUGUUUGCGGCCAUUUCUAUUUGCAUUUGCAGGAGAGAUGGUGGAUGUCAUGAAGUUCCAUGUACGCGAGCUAAUUAGGAGACGUACCCGUAGGCGCUCUCUUUCAUCCUUCCAAUAGUCACAGUCGGGCGAUAUAACAAGCGCUGAUGCUCACCAGAAAAAGUGGACUUCUGGCGGACUUCAGCAACUCAUCAAGUGAAUAAAUAAGGGAUGUCCUUUUAGCUGCUCUAUAAUCCCCAUUCUCUUCAACAUUUUUCACUUAUAUUGUAUCGAAGAGGAAUUGGCCAAUGAAUUGAUAACAUGAUAUACACGAGGGUGUAAUUUUUGCAAUGUUUGGAUUUAAUUAAGGAACAACGUAGUAGUUUUGACAUGUAUUGUGCUUGUACAGUAUAUGGAUAUAUGCAUUGUUAAUUAGUUAAUUUUAUUGCGAGGUUUUAUUUAACAUGAGUAGUUUUCAGCGCCCAUGAGAUUAGAACGGAACUUCUUCGCAUGGCUAGCUCAGAAUCCCAAUCCCAGUAUUGCCAUUUCUGGUUUGACUUGUUAUUGAUUAAUUGUGUUGUCAUGAGAGGUUUCCCUUUAGGUAUUUUGAUAAGAGAAUUGAAUUAUUGACUUGUCAUUUAGCUUUAAUUUUUGGGUUAUUUACACAAUUUAUAGAAAGACAUUCUAUAACUCCAACUAAUUUAAUUGUCAUACAAAGUUCAAACACCAUACAUUUAUAUAGUUGGGUUUUUUUUCUUUCUAUAAUUCAAUUUUUUUUCUUGAAUUUCAACCUCAAAUAGAGUGGUUAUUAAUAAGAGUGGUAUUCUUAAUUGGAUUAUUUUUAUAGGCAGACGUCAUUAAUCCUUGAAUAUGAUCAAUUUCCGUUGGAGUUGCUCAUAAACCACCUUAAAUGUGUUUAAAAAGUUGGCCUGGCAUGAGUUUUCUAAAAUAUCUCAAAAUUUGAGGAAUUUGUCAGCGAUGCAAUCUGAGCGGGCCGCAAGUUAACAAGACUGCAGAUACUCUCUCUGUCUCUGUCUCUCCAUACUCGGUCUAUCCACCACGCACCCCAACCCCCAUUCCCAAUCAACUAUCAAUCCCCACUUCCUUGACUCGUACAUAAGUCUCAUCUAGAUUCUCUUUUGAGGUCGACCAGGAUAGCACUUUGACUACCGAACAUUCAGAGCCUGUAUUCUUCCAACGAUAGAAUUAAUAAUAUGAAUUCGGUCGUUUGAUGCCUCUCGUAUUAAAUAGCACCGAACUAUAUAACCGGUCCCACAAUAUCGUCCAAAAGACGUGUAUUAUUAUUCGGCCGUCUUCUCUUUCCUCUCUCGUGAACUCGGCUGCCCAUCUGAAUUGAAGAUUUGGUAUGCCGUUCUUCCUUUUGCUCUCCAACCCAACAACAACUCUCUAGCUUUGAUAGUGUUUUAUAUGGUUUGUAUGUUUGAUUGAUUUGUGAGGAAGGAUAUGCAAACGAAAUGAAGAAUUAUCACAGAGAGAAUUUCAGAGAAAUGACAACUAACAGGCUGUACAUUGCAGCGGCUCCCAACAAAAAAAACUAUUAACUUUCGACAAGAAAAAAAAACAAAAAAAACAAAAACAAAAAAACAAAAACCAAAAAGCUAUUAACUCUUUUGGACAAACACAAUCUCAGCCUUACAUUGAGGCUUUUAAUCUAGACCCUACAUUUGUCGCUUGACUAUUCAUCACCAUCAUCAUCACAACAACAACAGCUAGCAACAAAAAGCUAACAACUCUUUUGAACAUACACAAUCUCAGCCUUUAUUGAGGCUCUUAAUCUAGAC
Molecule: long non-coding RNA, 2141 nt
Filed under: Malus domestica (apple)
Lineage: Eukaryota; Viridiplantae; Streptophyta; Magnoliopsida; Rosales; Rosaceae
Description: long non-coding RNA (MDOM_LNC003349)
Source: RNAcentral